Molecule: transfer RNA, 73 nt
Filed under: Methyloceanibacter methanicus
Lineage: Bacteria; Pseudomonadati; Pseudomonadota; Alphaproteobacteria; Hyphomicrobiales; Hyphomicrobiaceae
Rfam family: tRNA
About the family: Transfer RNA (tRNA) molecules are approximately 80 nucleotides in length.
Source: Rfam by way of RNAcentral
GGGGGUGUAGCUCAGUUGGUUAGAGCGCGGCCUGUCACGCCGGAGGCCGCGGGUUCGAGUCCCGUCACUCCCG